Long non-coding RNA from Centrocercus urophasianus (Greater sage-grouse), 4145 nucleotides. RefSeq lists it as uncharacterized. The transcript is spliced from 2 exons. Lineage: Eukaryota; Metazoa; Chordata; Aves; Galliformes; Phasianidae. The record is from RefSeq and is a predicted model, not a curated record.
CAGCUAUGGCAAGGGAGCUGCCCUGUGCUAGGAGCGGAUGGACUGCGAGGAGCUGUGUCUGAGGAAUGGCUGUGAUUGGGUCAAGAGCUGUGGGUAAAAAUCAAGGACCGGCCCAGCAAAGAGCACCCGGUGGUCGGAGUCUGCUGCAGCCCACCCGAUCAGGAGGAAGCUGUUGACGAGCCCUUCUUGCUUCAGCUGCAAGAGGUGUCACGCUCGCAGGCUCUUGUCCUGAUGGGGGAUUUCAACUGCCUGGAUACCUGCUAGGAGAGCAGCACAGCAGGGGGCAGACAGUAGAGGAGAUUGCUGGGGUCUGCCAAAGCCGACCUGCUGGUCCAGUAACAGAUGGACCGACCUGGUGUGAAGCCUUACUGGACUUGGUGCUCACCAGUGCAGAGGAGAGCGUUAGAGAGGUUAAGACUGGAGGCAGCCUGGGCUGUAAUGAAUGCCUUGAUGGAGUUUGUGAUCUUGAAGAAUGCAGAUCUGGCAAAAAGUGGACCAGGACUCUGAACUUCAGGAGAGCAAAGUUCUGGCUACAUAUUUUCCUCUCAUGCUUUAGUGUCACCUCCCUUUGUGUCCACCACUGAUCUGCAGUGGUAAGUAAGGCCUGAGUGCCCAAAUGUUGGUCUGUGCGGUCCAUGAUGGUACUGCACGUGGCCUGCAGAGUGUUUUGCAACCUGCCUGUGGCCAGCCGGUGGGUCUCCCUGUUCCACUGUAGCUGUGGAACUGACAACCUGGAUGUUUAUCCCAUCUCAUUACCUGACCCAGCUCUGGUCUUUGAUGGAAAAAGAGAUCACAGAUUUAAUGGGAACUUCUCUUAUCUGAUUGUGAUUCUAGAUGACUACACUGGUCCUUUCUAUCCAGUGUUCUGGUCAGACGCAGCUUUUGUUCCUGAGGUGGAACCUCAGGAACACUGCCAGGACAGAGCCUUUGGGGCUCCCCCUACCGUUCUAUUUUCCUCCCCUCUUUGUCCCCUUUCAGUUCUCUUCCCCUCCCCGUCUCCAGACAGUUCCACACAUGGAUUGUUGUGUAUCAGCACAGUGCCACUGCAGGCACCUGGCAUGUAUGGCUGAGAUGCUGCUGUGUGGAAGGGAGAGAAGAGUGCUGUGGAGCGAUCCCUCCUUGUUUCCAUCUGGAUGUGGAUAUGGACGUGUUUGAUAUGAGCUGCUCUGUCCUGUUUGUUUACAGAUGUGAGUGGAGAUGAAUGGGAUGCAGAAUCCCAGCUGGCUCCCCGGAUGGAAGCUCUAGCAGAUGGUAUGAGUAUGUCAUGGCUUUUUACUUCCUUUGUGAGCUGCCAGCUCACAGCCCUAAUGUCAGCCAGGCACGCCUGCAGGAGUGAGAGCACAGAGCUGCACGUGCGUGCCCUGUCCCUGCACCAUCCUCUGGUACCAUCUGCUCCUCAGAUGGCACUGUGCCGUUACGCGUGACACAGAUGAUGGAAAGCUUUCAUGGUUCUUUGCUUGCAGAAGUGCCUCCAGAGAGAGCCAUGCCAAACCUGCAGCUGCUUCCCAUGCCGGAGCCCCGCUGGUAUCCCAGGGGUGGGCAGGGUGGUCUGUCUGGAUGGACUGCACCAAAUAGAGUUCAGUAGCUGGUUCAUCUGAAACGUGUCCUGGUACAUCCUGUUCAGGUCCUGUGAGACAGAGAGGGAAGUUGAGGGCUUGGAAACCAACAUUCUACGUAUGUGGAAAACAUUGAUGUCUUCUGAGAAGUAGUGCCCUCUGAAGAUAACGUCUUCCUGGUAAGAGCAGAUAUUUACUGUCCCACUCUGCUACCUUCUUUCUAAAGAGAUCGACGGAGAGCCUGUGGAUGAGGCUGUGUUUCAGGAGGGCAGCAGCCGCACGCUGCUCUUCUCCCAUGAGGACACAGAGGAUGGUGCUGAAUCUCCCCUGGUGCAACUUGAGGCCGUUCCCUCUCGUCCUCUCACUGUUAGUUGAGAGUAGAGACCAACCCCCAACUCACCACAGCCUCCCUCAGGAGUUAGAGCGCAGUGAGGUCUCCCCAGGACCCUUCUUGCAGCAAGGGACCCAGAGCUGAACACAGCACUGGAGCUGCAGCCUCACCAGAGGAACAAUCACUUCCUGAUCUGCUGGCAGCACCAUUUCUGAUGCAGGCCAGGAUACCAUUGGUCCUCUUGGCCACUGGGCACCCUGCUGGCUCGUGUUCAGCUGAGUAUCAACCGACAACCCCAGGUCCGUUUCCUCUACACUGACUUCCAGCUGCUCUGCCCCACGCCCAUAGCGGUGCCUGGGGUUGUUGUGGCCAAAGUGCAUCUCCAGUUGACCAGGAGGGCUGACAGAUGAUGGAAAGCAGCUUGGCUUUUCACCUCCACCAGCUCCCCCAGUACUCUUGGAUUAAUCUCAUCUGCCCCCAUGGACUUGUGGCAGUCCAGGUGGAACACAGGACUCUGUUUCCUCCUGAAUUGAGGGGGUUUAUUCUGCUCCCCAUCCCAGACUUCCAGGUCAGAGAGCAGAGCACCAAAGAAGAGCUUUUUUUUCACCCUUUGCACUUCACAUCUGUUGCACACUGCCAUCUUCCCUUCCCUGAAGCUGCUCCGCCCAUAAAUGUUGGCAGGGGUCUAAAGCCACAGCCACCAGUCCUGCAUUAGGAUUUUGUGAAAGGGGUGCAGCAUUUGGCAUUGGGGUGCAACUUUUUGUUAAAAGGGUUACAUCUUUGGGCCUUGGCUUCAGGCUUUUGCUAAAGGGGUUCAGCCUCUUGUUCUUGGGGUUAUGCUGUUUGGCACCAUUUGACCUUGGGCUUCUGCUUUUAGUUUUCAUUUCUCCUGUCUUCCAUCUCUAUGCCUCUCCAGAGCUCUCCAGCAGAGACACUUUUUUUUUGCUCCAGCCUUCAUGGACAAACUCCACUGGGCAGAAGAGAUCUGUGCAGACACACAGCAGACAUCUGUGUGUGCAGAGGGACUCUGCUCAUCCCAUUUCUCUUCCCGUCUACGUCUCGUCCCACUCGGCGCAUUUUGAAGGGCUGACUCUCUUUCCAUCUCCUGAGUCGUGCCUCCCCUGGUCAGCAAAGGACCGCUACUGCAAUGGAGUCAUCCAAACUCAGAGGAAUAAUAGAUGUCCAUUUAUUGAGAGCUUUCUUAACAGCCAGCAACAAGCUAUUGGAGGUAACAUUGGCCAGUGGGCUGAUUGCAAGGAAUAAUGUUAGAUGUAACAACUGUAGGCAAUGGCUGUGACAAAGAGUCAAAGAAUAACAGAUGACAAAGAGAAAAGGCAGAAAAUGGAGAAAGAGGGACAGACAGCAAAGCGCUCGUAGAUCCAGCCGCGUCCUGGUGUCAGGUACGGAUCUCUAGUGUGAUGGGUCGUCAUCGGACAACGACUGACAACGACUCACGACAACAGUAGAAACUCACUGAGAAGUCCAAAGCGGUGGCACUCAGCCGCCUGCCAGCACUGCCCCACAGCUGUGCCUGUGCGCCCCGGGGGGGCAGGAGCAGAGGAGAAGCCCCUUCCAUGGGGACAGAGCCCUUUCCCCGCACCCCACCGCGCAGCCCCGAGCUGGGAGGGGCUACCGAGCACAGCGGUCAGAUGGGCAGCAGCCCAUCACAAACCACACGCAGGGUGCUGCUCGCAAAGUACGCCAGGGAAGCGUACAUUGCCCGGGGCAGCACUUGAGGCAGGAGCCGAUAGAAGAGCUCCUGGUCGAAGUGCUGGGCGUACAGCACUGCAGAGGCCAGCACAACAAUGAGGAGCAGCUGGAGGCAGACCAGGAUGAGGCAGAUCAUCCUGUGGGGCAAAAGAGAAAGGGGGCUGGGAAUGAGGCACCCCCACCCCACGGCUGUCGAUGGGUGGCUUGCUAGCCAAGGGGGCCAUGGGCCCCUCGAACAGCUGUACGAGCAGGACAGGGCGGGAGGCUCUCAAGCUGUACAGAUGGAAAAAUACUAGCGUGCCACCUGCGAGGACACUGUAUCCUUGAGCCCCAAAGUAAACGACCACGGAGGAACUUGGUUUGGAGAUAAGGAAGUAACCGCGGGUGUGCCACAGAGAUAGUUCCUAAGGCAUGAAAACGUGUGUAGCCCAUCACCUUUGUGAGUAAGGGGUAGUUACGGGGUUGUUAACUGAUCAGCUUGUGGCAAGUUUACUAAUAUGGUUAUGAAUAGUCUCACUUUAACAAUAAAGCGGGGUUUUCCUGAUGCA